UUUUCUGUAGCCCUGGAAAUGGCUGAAAAUGAGGGGAGGGAAAUAAAGUGCUAUAAUUCAGAGCAUGGAGCACACCUUCCUGGUUCACCUGAGCUGGAUUCGGAGAGGUAAAAUGGCCAUUACCUCGUCUAAGCUGCCACUUACAGACACAGUACAGGAUGAGGCCCAGACCCACAGAGACAACGAUGAUGGCCACAGCUAAGAUGAUCCAGAAAUUAUUCCUCCACCAGCUCAUUGCAGUGGAAUCCUGAGAAGAAUGGAGAGAGAAGAAUGAGGUAUGAAUGAAAGAUAUCCUGGGGUUGGGUGGAGUGGGGCAGUUAUCUACUGUGGGUUGUUUUUUUUUUCUUUUCUGAGUCGGAGUCUCACUCUGUCGCCCAGGCUGGAGUGCAAUGACGUGAUCUCAGCUCUCAGCUCACUGCAACCUCCACCUCCCGGGUUCAAGUGAUUCUCCUGCCUCAGCCUCCAGAGUAACGGGGACUACAGGCACCUGCCACCACGCCUGGCUAAUUUUUGUAUUUUUAGUAGAGAUGGGGUUUCGCCACGUUGGCCAGGCUGGUCUGGAACUCCUGACCUCAGGUGAUUCACCUGUCUUGGCCUCCCAAAGUACUGGGAUUACAGACAUGAGCCACCGUGCCCAGCUAAUCUACUGUGUUGUGUAGAGAUGCAGACAUCUGCUUAGGAAUCAGGCACUGGAUCACAGCCAUACCCUACUCAUUAACACCUGGGGGACCUCAGGCAUGUCACUCGACCUUCUGUGAGCCUCAUCUAUAAUAUGGGAAUGAUAUCUCC
This 789-nucleotide long non-coding RNA is filed under the name Homo sapiens (human). RNAcentral describes it as "ZNF594 divergent transcript". Lineage: Eukaryota; Metazoa; Chordata; Mammalia; Primates; Hominidae. The record is from RNAcentral.